AGUGAACGCUGGCGGUAGGCCUAACACAUGCAAGUCGAACGGCAGCACAGUAAGAGCUUGCUCUUACGGGUGGCGAGUGGCGGACGGGUGAGGAAUACAUCGGAAUCUACUUUUUCGUGGGGGAUAACGUAGGGAAACUUACGCUAAUACCGCAUACGACCUACGGGUGAAAGCAGGGGAUCUUCGGACCUUGCGCGAUUGAAUGAGCCGAUGUCGGAUUAGCUAGUUGGCGGGGUAAAGGCCCACCAAGGCGACGAUCCGUAGCUGGUCUGAGAGUAUGAUCAGACACACUGGAACUGAGACACGGUCCAGACUCCUACGGGAGGCAGCAGUGGGGAAUAUUGGACAAUGGGCGCAAGCCUGAUCCAGCCAUACCGCGUGGGUGAAGAAGGCCUUCGGGUUGUAAAGCCCUUUUGUUGGGAAAGAAAAGCAGCAGGUUAAUACCCCGCUGUUCUGACGGUACCCAAAGAAUAAGCACCGGCUAACUUCGUG
RNAcentral lists this ribosomal RNA (492 nucleotides) under uncultured bacterium. RNAcentral's name for it is "partial 16S ribosomal RNA". It matches the Rfam family "Bacterial small subunit ribosomal RNA", at positions 29 to 507 of the family's 1533-position model. The record is from RNAcentral.